Molecule: unclassified non-coding RNA, 90 nt
Filed under: Pseudomonas sp. NFACC13-1
Lineage: Bacteria; Pseudomonadati; Pseudomonadota; Gammaproteobacteria; Pseudomonadales; Pseudomonadaceae
Source: RNAcentral
UGUGGGAGCGAGCUUGCUCGCGAUAGCGGUGUGACAGUCAAUGAAGGUAUUGACUGUCCGUCAGCCAUCGCGAGCAAGCUCGCUCCCACA